This 28-nucleotide small RNA is filed under the name Bombyx mori (domestic silkworm). RNAcentral's name for it is "ovarian small RNA-4596". Lineage: Eukaryota; Metazoa; Arthropoda; Insecta; Lepidoptera; Bombycidae. The record is from RNAcentral.
AUCAGCGGGAUUCGAACUGCGAAAGUGG